GAGGAGGAGGGAGGGUCUAGCUAGCCUCUGUUUUGUUUGACAACACAUCGAACGUCAACAGGAAGUUACAUCCACCCAGGAUCACUUAGAGUGUUAUGAUACAGACGGCACGGAGGCAGAGGUAAAAGCAAGUAUGGUGGUUUAUUUGAGAAACAGCAAUGAGCAGGUGAGUAAAUGGAAGAUGGAGAAUUCAAAUGAGAUGAUAGAGGUUUGAUACUGUCCUUGUGAUUGCAGAUGGAGGUAGAAGUCGAGGAGAUGGAGAAUGGCUGACGAGGAACACUCACACACACGGAAGGAGGAACACAGGAGGGGAACUGGAGACAAUGGAGCGAUAGGGAUCGCUGGUAGCAGGUAAGUAGCAGCAGGGAGAGAAGGACAAAAAGGAACAGAAAAUGAAGGCAGAGGUGGAGUGUGCAGCCAAAUUAAGUGCAAAUACAGGACUCACAGGAUUCAUAACCCAAAGACAGCCAACACUUUUCUUCUUCCUGAUUCUAGCGUAGCUCUUCUUCUCUGCAAGGUCCAUGGCAAAAUCAUGUGCAUCUGCAUAGGCUCUGGACAACCGCCAAAGGUACUGCCACUUCUGAUCAAACUGUAAGCACA
Molecule: long non-coding RNA, 600 nt
Organism: Megalobrama amblycephala (Wuchang bream)
Lineage: Eukaryota; Metazoa; Chordata; Actinopteri; Cypriniformes; Xenocyprididae
Exons: 3
Source: RefSeq, a predicted model, not a curated record